RNAcentral lists this ribosomal RNA (253 nucleotides) under uncultured bacterium. RNAcentral describes it as "partial 16S ribosomal RNA". It matches the Rfam family "Bacterial small subunit ribosomal RNA", at positions 524 to 776 of the family's 1533-position model. The record is from RNAcentral.
UACGGGGGGGGCAAGCGUUGUUCGGAAUUACUGGGCGUAAAGGGCUCGUAGGCGGCCAACUAAGUCGGAUGUGAAAUCCCCAAGCUUAACUUGGGAACUGCAUCCGAUACUGGAUGGCUUGAAUCCGGGAGAGGGAUGCAGAAUUCCAGGUGUAGCGGUGAAAUGCGUAGAUAUCUGGAGGAAUACCAGUGGCGAAGGCGGCUUUCUGGUCUGUAACUGACGCUGAGGCGCGAAAGCGUGGGGAGCAAACAGG